This 512-nucleotide ribosomal RNA is filed under the name uncultured microorganism. Its description in RNAcentral is "bacterial SSU rRNA". It matches the Rfam family "Bacterial small subunit ribosomal RNA", at positions 9 to 504 of the family's 1533-position model. The record is from RNAcentral.
GAGUUUGAUCGUGGCUCAGGAUGAACGCUGGCGGCGUGCCUAAUACAUGCAAGUCAAGCGAACGGACGAGAAGCUUGCUUCUCUGAUGUUAGCGGCGGACGGGUGAGUAACACGUGGAUAACCUACCUAUAAGACUGGGAUAACUUCGGGAAACCGGAGCUAAUACCGGAUGAUAUUUUGAACCGCAUGGUUCAAAAGUGAAAGACGGUCUUGCUGUCACUUAUAGAUGGAUCCGCGCUGCAUUAGCUAGUUGGUAAGGUAACGGCUUACCAAGGCAACGAUGCAUAGCCGACCUGAGAGGGUGAUCGGCCACACUGGAACUGAGACACGGUCCAGACUCCUACGGGAGGCAGCAGUAGGGAAUCUUCCGCAAUGGGCGAAAGCCUGACGGAGCAACGCCGCGUGAGUGAUGAAGGUCUUCGGAUCGUAAAACUCUGUUAUUAGGGAGAACAUAUGUGUAAGUAACUGUGCACAUCUUGACGGUACCUAAUCAGAAAGCCACGGCUAACUAC